This 340-nucleotide unclassified non-coding RNA is filed under the name uncultured Trichoglossum. Its description in RNAcentral is "sequence contains ITS1". The stretch from base 1 to 105 matches the Rfam family "5.8S ribosomal RNA", at positions 50 to 154 of the family's 154-position model. Lineage: Eukaryota; Fungi; Ascomycota; Geoglossomycetes; Geoglossales; Geoglossaceae. The record is from RNAcentral.
GAAAUGCGAUAAGUAAUGUGAAUUGCAGAAUUCAGUGAAUCAUCGAAUCUUUGAACGCACAUUGCGCCCCUUGGUAUUCCGAGGGGCAUGCCUGUUCGAGCGUCAUUAUACAAUCUCUCAAGCCUGGCUUGGUGUUGGGUCUUCGUCCCCUCGUCCCUGCUGCCCAAGUGGGUGUGGAGGACUUGGACGUACCUGAAAAUUAGUGGCGGUGCUCAUGAUGGUCUCAAGCGUAGCAGACUCUCUCUCGCUUUGGAUGGCCUGUCAUGUAGCUCACCAGCCUUGCAUGCAUCUUCAACUAAGGUUUGACCUCGGAUCAGGUAGGGAUACCCGCUGAACUUAA